This 500-nucleotide ribosomal RNA is filed under the name uncultured Myrionecta. RNAcentral describes it as "bacterial SSU rRNA". It matches the Rfam family "Eukaryotic small subunit ribosomal RNA", at positions 1213 to 1801 of the family's 1831-position model. Lineage: Eukaryota; Ciliophora; Litostomatea; Cyclotrichida; Mesodiniidae. The record is from RNAcentral.
ACUUACCAGGUCAAGACAUGGGCGUGAUUGACAGGCUAAUGACUUUUCUCGAUUCCAUGGAUGGUGGUGCAUGGUCGCACUUAGUUGGUGCAGUGAUUUGUCAGGUUUAUUCCGGUAACGAACGAGACCUCGGCCUUGUAAAUAGCUAUGCUGCUUACAGGGACAUUGGCGGCUACGCCAAGGAAGCUCGAGGCAAUUGCAGAUCUGGAAUGCCCUUAGAUGUCCUGGGUCGCACGCGUGCUACAAUGACGCCACGAACGAGCUUGCGUGAUGAAAGUUACGCAUAAUCAGCAGUCGGCGUCUUAAGGGAUAGUCUCUUGUAACUGUGGGACUCCAACUAGGAAUGUCUCGUAAGCACAAGUCGACAUCUUGUGUUGAUUACGUCCCUGCUCUUUGUACACACCGCCCGUCGCUCCUACCGAUCGAGUGUUUAGGUGAAUUUGAUGGACGUAAGGAAGUCAAAUAAACCUGAGCACUAGAGAAGAGAAGUCUAGAAUGCC